This 471-nucleotide ribosomal RNA is filed under the name uncultured bacterium. RNAcentral describes it as "bacterial SSU rRNA". It matches the Rfam family "Bacterial small subunit ribosomal RNA", at positions 355 to 825 of the family's 1533-position model. The record is from RNAcentral.
UGGGGAAUUGUUCGCAAUGGGCGCAAGCCUGACGACGCAACGCCGCGUGGAGGAUGAAGGUCUUCGGAUUGUAAACUCCUGUUGAUCGGGACGAAAAGCUUCAACCUAAUACGUUGAGGACUGACGGUACCGGUUGAGGAAGCCACGGCUAACUCUGUGCCAGCAGCCGCGGUAAUACAGAGGUGGCAAGCGUUGUUCGGAAUUACUGGGCGUAAAGGGCGCGUAGGCGGCCUUCUAAGUCGGACGUGAAAGCCCCAGGCUUAACCUGGGAACUGCGUUUGAAACUGAGGGGCUAGAGUGUGGAAGAGGGGGGUGGAAUUCCAGGUGUAGCAGUGAAAUGCGUAGAGAUCUGGAGGAACACCGAUGGCGAAGGCAGCCCCCUGGGCUAACACUGACGCUCAUGCACGAAGGCGUGGGGAGCAAACAGGAUUAGAUACCCACGUAGUCCCUGAGCGGGCUGGCAAGGCGCAU